AUUCUUUUCUGGUUCAUAAGCCUAAUGAAUGGGUUCUUACAUGCUUGGGUGACAUGUUCCUCCCUCUAAAACCUUGUUACAACAUGGGCACAUUAGUCAACUUGAAG
This is a small nucleolar RNA of Perognathus longimembris pacificus (Pacific pocket mouse), 107 nucleotides long. RefSeq annotates it as small nucleolar RNA U13. The record is from RefSeq and is a predicted model, not a curated record. NCBI's taxonomy places the organism in Eukaryota, Metazoa, Chordata, Mammalia, Rodentia, Heteromyidae. The transcript has a single exon.